This 428-nucleotide ribosomal RNA is filed under the name uncultured bacterium. RNAcentral's name for it is "bacterial SSU rRNA". It matches the Rfam family "Bacterial small subunit ribosomal RNA", at positions 355 to 775 of the family's 1533-position model. The record is from RNAcentral.
UGGGGAAUAUUGGACAAUGGGGGAAACCCUGAUCCAGCGAUGCCGCGUGGGUGAAGAAGGCCUGCGGGUUGUAAAGCCCUUUCAGUGGGGAAGAAAAACGGAGUGUGAACAGCGCUUCGUCUUGACGUUACCUACAGAAGAAGCACCGGCUAACUCCGUGCCAGCAGCCGCGGUAAUACGGAGGGUGCGAGCGUUAAUCGGAAUCACUGGGCGUAAAGGGCGCGUAGGCGGUUAGGUAAGUCGGAUGUGAAAGCCCUGGGCUUAACCUGGGAAUGGCAUUCGAGACUGUCUAUCUAGAGUCUGGUAGAGGGAAGUGGAAUUUCCGGUGUAGCGGUGAAAUGUGUAGAUAUCGGAAGGAACACCAGUGGCGAAGGCGACUUCCUGGACCAAGACUGACGCUGAGGCGCGAAAGCGUGGGGAUCAAACAG